This 1033-nucleotide long non-coding RNA is filed under the name Lactuca sativa (garden lettuce). RNAcentral's name for it is "long non-coding RNA (LSAT_LNC000190)". Lineage: Eukaryota; Viridiplantae; Streptophyta; Magnoliopsida; Asterales; Asteraceae. The record is from RNAcentral.
UUGGGUUGGGUUCGGGUUGGUGGGUCAGAAUAGAUUGAUCCAACCCAACAUAUAUAAUAUAUGGGUUGGUGGGUUGGCAGGUCACGGGUUGGCGGGUUGAAAACAUCAACCCAACUCAACCCAUAUAACCCGUAUAAGUAUAUGGGUUCGUGGGUCAGUGGGUCGAACCCAACCGUAUAACCCAUUUAAUAAGCAACAAAUUUUAAAAUGAAAUUAAAAAUUACAAACAAAAUGAAGUCAUAAAGUCUUAAAUAUUCAACAUAAAGUCAUAAACAAGAGUUACAACAACGAGUGAUGUGCGACAGCCGGAGGACGAGAAGACGAGUGGUGUGCAUGCGACACUGCAACAGUCAGUGACUCAAUACCUCAAUCGAUGGAGAUGGGAGAUACGGAGUCGUGAGUUUGGAGACUGAUGAUUGAAUUUCUUUUUGAUUAGGGGAUUCUUAGGGGCUAGGCACGUUAAUUCGACUCGAAGAUGUUUUGCAGUUUUGGAAUUCGAAAAACGAUUAAAUGAUAAUCAAAUAUAUAUAUAUAUAUAUAUANUGUGUACAAUGUCAGCUUCAUCACCAACUUACUAGAAAAUGUUUUUUUUUUUGCGAUUAAAUUAAAUAAAAACAUAAUAAAAUGUUUGACAUUAAUUGAAACCACGUUACAUUAAAACAUAGAAAAUUAAACCUAAAUUAUUAAAAAAACAUUAAAAAAAAUUAAACCUAAAUUACUAAAAAAAACAUAGAAAAUUAAACAUAAAUUACUAAAAAGCAUAAAAAACAUAGAAUCUAGUUGUGAUAUUUGUCUAGAACUUCUUGUUGAAUUUUUAAAAAUGCCCUUAAAUUUUCCGGAUCGAGAUUCGGUUGCGGCACCAUGUUUAAAAUUUGAAGAUCGGUGAGUGUCAUUUUUCGGGUUGGUGUGCGUGCGACACUGCAACAGUCAGUGACUCAAUGCCUCAAUCGAUGGAGAUGGGAGAUACGGAGUCGUGAGUUUGGAGACUGAUGAUUGAAUUUCUUUUUGAUUAGGGGAUUCUUAGGGGCUAGGC